CCAAAACUCUUUUCAAGCUUUAGCAUAACCUUUGUGAGACUUAACAAACGAGCAAUUGUCACCAUGUCAUAAUGUGAAAUGUUAUACCUCUAAAUGAGUAUUUAAGCAAGUGUCACCAUGAUAUGACAUGAUACAAAUAGAUGAACAUUAGAAUAGGGGAUACAAACUGCAACACACAUUUAGAUAAUUGAUUUAACUUUCUGAAAUAUAAAAGAUGUUUAGAUAGACUAAUACCACUAAAAAAA
This 245-nucleotide long non-coding RNA is filed under the name Lathyrus oleraceus (garden pea). RNAcentral describes it as "Pisum sativum (pea) long non-coding RNA (PSAT_LNC031057)". Lineage: Eukaryota; Viridiplantae; Streptophyta; Magnoliopsida; Fabales; Fabaceae. The record is from RNAcentral.